Molecule: ribosomal RNA, 248 nt
Filed under: uncultured bacterium
Lineage: Bacteria
Description: partial 16S ribosomal RNA
Rfam family: Bacterial small subunit ribosomal RNA
Source: RNAcentral
AUACGUAGGUGGCAAGCGUUGUCCGGAUUUACUGGGCGUAAAGGGUGCGUAGGUGGAUAUUUAAGUGGGAUGUGAAAUACUCGGGCUUAACCUGGGUGCUGCAUUCCAAACUGGAUAUCUAGAGUGCAGGAGAGGAAAGUAGAAUUCCUAGUGUAGCGGUGAAAUGCGUAGAGAUUAGGAAGAAUACCAGUGGCGAAGGCGACUUUCUGGACUGUAACUGACACUGAGGCUCGAAAGCGGUGGGGAGC